ACGAACGCUGGCGGCGUGCCUAAUACAUGCAAGUCGCGCGAAGUUUUUCUGGUGCUUGCACCGGAAAAACUUAGCGGCGAACGGGUGAGUAACACGUAAAGAACCUGCCUCAUAGACUGGGACAACUAUUGGAAACGAUAGCUAAUACCGGAUAACAGCAUUAACUGCAUGGUUGAUGUUUAAAAGUUGGUUUUGCUAACACUAUGAGAUGGCUUUGCCGUGCAUUAGCUAGUUGGUGGGGUAAAGGCCUACCAAGGCGACGAUGCAUAGCCGACCUGAGAGGGUGAUCGGCCACACUGGGACUGAGACACGGCCCAGACUCCUACGGGAGGCAGCAGUAGGGAAUCUUCCGCAAUGGGCGAAAGCCUGACGGAGCAACGCCGCGUGAGUGAAGAAGGAUUUCGGUUCGUAAAGCUCUGUUGUUAGGGAAGAAUGAUUGUGUAGUAACUAUACACAGUAGAGACGGUACCUAACCAGAAAGCCACGGCUAACUACGUG
Molecule: ribosomal RNA, 498 nt
Filed under: uncultured bacterium
Lineage: Bacteria
Description: partial 16S ribosomal RNA
Rfam family: Bacterial small subunit ribosomal RNA
Source: RNAcentral